Molecule: ribosomal RNA, 1388 nt
Filed under: metagenome
Description: bacterial LSU rRNA
Rfam family: Bacterial large subunit ribosomal RNA
Source: RNAcentral
GAGGAGGAGGGAUACAGGCAAAUCCGUAUCCCAAUCCAAUGGUGUUACGCGGAGCGAACAAAAGUAGCGAAGCACACAGACCAUCUGUCGAGAAAAGCCGCUAUUGUGUAUACCGUACCCGUACCGUAAACCGACACAGGUGGAUGAGGAGAGAAUCCUAAGGCCGGCGGGAGAAGCAUUGUUAAGGAACUCGGCAAAAUGACCCCGUAACUUCGGGAGAGGGGGUGCUCACGCAAGUGAGCCGCAGAGAACUGGCCCAAGCAACUGUUUAGCAAAAACACAGGUCUAUGCAAAACCGAAAGGUGAGGUAUAUGGGCUGACGCCUGCCCGGUGCUGGAAGGUUAAGAGGAGAUGUUAGAGCAAUCGAAGCAUUGAAUUUAAGCCCCAGUAAACGGCGGCCGUAACGAUAACGGUCCUAAGGUAGCGAAAUUCCUUGUCGGGUAAGUUCCGACCCGCACGAAAGGCGUAAUGAUUUGGGCACUGUCUCGACAAUGCACCCGGUGAAAUUGAAAUACCAGUGAAGAUGCUGGUUACCUGCGCCAGGACGGAAAGACCCCAUGGAGCUUUACUCUAGCUUGAUACUGGGAUUCGGUAUUGCAUGUACGGGAUAGGUGGGAGACUAAGAGGUGAUGACGCCAGUUGUCACGGAGUCGAUGUUGGGAUACCACCCCUGCAGUACUGGGUUUCUAACCUGCGGCCGUGACCCGGCCGGGGGACAAUGUCUGGUGGGGAGUUUGACUGGGGCGGUCGCCUCCGAAAGGGUAUCGGAGGCGCUCAAAGGUUCCCUCAGAAUGGUUGGAAACCAUUCGAAGAGUGCAAAGGCAGAAGGGAGCUUGACUGCGACACCGACGGGUGGAGCAGGUACGAAAGUAGGACUUAGUGAUCCGGUGGUAUGAAAGUGGGAUUGCCAUCGCUCAACGGAUAAAAGCUACCCUGGGAUAACAGGCUUAUCACUCCCAAGAGUUCACAUCGACGGAGUGGUUUGGCACCUCGAUGUCGGCUCAUCGCAUCCUGGGGCUGUAGUAGGUCCCAAGGGUUGGGCUGUUCGCCCAUUAAAGCGGUACGCGAGCUGGGUUCAGAACGUCGUGAGACAGUUCGGUCCCUAUCCGGCGUGGGCGUAGGAUAUCUGAGAGGAGCUGUCCUUAGUACGAGAGGACCGGGAUGGACUGACCUCUGGUGCAUCGGUUGAGCCACCAGGCUCAUGGCCGAGUAGCCAAGUCGGGACGGGAUAAACGCUGAAGGCAUCUAAGCGUGAAGCCCCCCUCAAGAUGAGAUAUCCCAUAGAGUAAUCUAGUAAGACCCCUUGAAGACGACGAGGUAGAUAGGCAGAAGGUGGAAGUGUGGUGACAUAUGGAGCUGAUCUGUACUAAUAGGUCGAGGGCUUAACU